This 73-nucleotide transfer RNA is filed under the name Elusimicrobiota bacterium. Its description in RNAcentral is "Elusimicrobia bacterium tRNA-Phe". It matches the Rfam family "tRNA". Rfam says of the family: Transfer RNA (tRNA) molecules are approximately 80 nucleotides in length. Their secondary structure includes four short double-helical elements and three loops (D, anti-codon, and T loops). Further hydrogen bonds mediate the characteristic L-shaped molecular structure. tRNAs have two regions of fundamental functional importance: the anti-codon, which is responsible for specific mRNA codon recognition, and the 3' end, to which the tRNAs corresponding amino acid is attached (by aminoacyl-tRNA synthetases). tRNAs cope with the degeneracy of the genetic code in two manners: having more than one tRNA (with a specific anti-codon) for a particular amino acid; and 'wobble' base-pairing, i.e. permitting non-standard base-pairing at the 3rd anti-codon position. Lineage: Bacteria; Pseudomonadati; Elusimicrobiota. The record is from RNAcentral.
GCCGCGGGAGCCGGUGUGGUCAUGGCGCCCGUCUGAAGAGCGGGAGAAGCUCGUUCGAAUCGAGCCCGCGGCA